RNAcentral lists this transfer RNA (59 nucleotides) under Cyrtodactylus cf. intermedius. Its description in RNAcentral is "tRNA-Trp". Lineage: Eukaryota; Metazoa; Chordata; Lepidosauria; Squamata; Gekkonidae. The record is from RNAcentral.
GGGUUUAGGUUAAACAAACCAGGGCCCUUAAAAGCCCCAAACAGGGCCAUACCCUUAGC